This 139-nucleotide non-coding RNA is filed under the name Partenskyella glossopodia. Lineage: Eukaryota; Cercozoa; Chlorarachniophyceae. The record is from RNAcentral.
UAAAUUAGUUUUUUUUUAUGUGCGCAACGUACUAAUAAAACAAAAAGAACGAAAAAAAAACAUACAUCGUAUCCAUCAGCUGCAGCAUAUUGUUAUUCUGCUACCAUACAUGUCAUACACAUAUAUAUAUAUGUACAUA